AUAGCAGGCUGGUCUAUCGCUGCAUAAUUAAUGGAGAGGAAAGUCCGGGCAACAUAGAGCGCCAUACUUCCUAACAGGAAGGUUCCAUUUGAAUGGAAACAGCAAGUGCCACAGAAAAUAACCGCCUAAGUUUAAUUUAAAACCGGUAAGGGUGAAAAUGUGAGGUAAGAGCUCACAAUUUUUGUUGGUAACAGCAAAAUUGGGUAAACCUUAUGGGUUGAAAGACCAAAUAUACCGGAGAAUGAGGGCUGCUCGUCCGAUUCCGGGGGGUAGGUUGAUUGAGACUAAGUGUGAAUUUAGUCCUAGAUAAAUGAUAGAAAAUACAUUUAAUUGCAUUACAGAACCCGGCUUAUAGGUCUGCUAUUUUU
This 368-nucleotide RNase P RNA is filed under the name Bacteroidota bacterium. RNAcentral describes it as "RNase P RNA component class A". It matches the Rfam family "Bacterial RNase P class A". From Rfam's summary of the family: Ribonuclease P (RNase P) is a ubiquitous endoribonuclease, found in archaea, bacteria and eukarya as well as chloroplasts and mitochondria. Its best characterised activity is the generation of mature 5'-ends of tRNAs by cleaving the 5'-leader elements of precursor-tRNAs. Lineage: Bacteria; Pseudomonadati; Bacteroidota. The record is from RNAcentral.